This 471-nucleotide ribosomal RNA is filed under the name uncultured Fusobacterium sp. Its description in RNAcentral is "bacterial SSU rRNA". It matches the Rfam family "Bacterial small subunit ribosomal RNA", at positions 8 to 507 of the family's 1533-position model. Lineage: Bacteria; Fusobacteriati; Fusobacteriota; Fusobacteriia; Fusobacteriales; Fusobacteriaceae. The record is from RNAcentral.
AGAGUUUGAUCCUGGCUCAGGAUGAACGCUGACAGAAUGCUUAACACAUGCAAGUCAACUUGAACUUCGGUUUGGGUGGCGGACGGGUGAGUAACGCGUAAAGAACUUGCCUCACAGUUAGGGACAACAUUUGGAAACGAAUGCUAAUACCUGAUAUUAUGAUUUUAGGGCAUCCUAGAAUUAUGAAAGCUAUAUGCGCUGUGAGAGAGCUUUGCGUCCCAUUAGCUAGUUGGAGAGGUAACGGCUCACCAAGGCGAUGAUGGGUAGCCGGCCUGAGAGGGUAAACGGCCACAAGGGGACUGAGACACGGCCCUUACUCCUACGGGAGGCAGCAGUGGGGAAUAUUGGACAAUGGACCAAGAGUCUGAUCCAGCAAUUCUGUGUGCACGAUGAAGUUUUCGGAAUGUAAAGUGCUUUCAGUUGGGAAGAAAAAUGACGGUACCAACAGAAGAAGUGACGGCUAAAUACGUG